RNAcentral lists this unclassified non-coding RNA (243 nucleotides) under uncultured fungus. Its description in RNAcentral is "sequence contains ITS1". The record is from RNAcentral. Lineage: Eukaryota; Fungi.
CCGUACCGUUUCGGGGAAUUCGUUCCCUCGAUCCACUGUGCACUAGGCUGCGGCCCGCCAAAGCCGCGUCGGGGAGGUCGUUCUCGGGUGCGAGGACGACGCGAGUCGGCGCGAGAGAACCCUCCGCCGGCCUCUCCGACGCGGAGGGCCGCAGUUCUCGUCCUUUUUUUCUCGACCGUAGCGUACCGAACGGGUUGCUGUUUUUAUCGUAUUGUCGAGGAGACAACGUAUAAAAGUUUGAGA